GCAAAACCAAUUUGUAAGUCGCUCUGGAUAAGAGCGUCUGCUAAAUGACUUAAA
Salmo salar (Atlantic salmon) is the source of this 54-nucleotide non-coding RNA. The record is from Rfam. NCBI's taxonomy places the organism in Eukaryota, Metazoa, Chordata, Actinopteri, Salmoniformes, Salmonidae.